GUAGGUGGCAAGCGUUGUCCGGAAUUAUUGGGCGUAAAGCGCGCGCAGGCGGUUCUUUAAGUCUGAUGUGAAAGCCCACGGCUCAACCGUGGAGGGUCAUUGGAAACUGGAGAACUUGAGUACAGAAGAGGAAAGCGGAAUUCCACGUGUAGCGGUGAAAUGCGUAGAGAUGUGGAGGAACACCAGUGGCGAAGGCGGCUUUCUGGUCUGUAACUGACGCUGAGGCGCGAAAGCGUGGGGAGCAAACAGGAUUAGAUACCCUGGUAGUCCACGCCGUAAACGAUGAGUGCUAAGUGUUAGGGGGUUUCCGCCCCCCUUAGUGCUGCAGCUAACGCACUAAGCACUCCGCCUGGGAUACGGCCGCAAGGCUG
RNAcentral lists this ribosomal RNA (371 nucleotides) under uncultured organism. RNAcentral's name for it is "partial 16S ribosomal RNA". It matches the Rfam family "Bacterial small subunit ribosomal RNA", at positions 527 to 896 of the family's 1533-position model. The record is from RNAcentral.